GAAAGAAGAGAUAACAUACAAAAUUCCCCAUGUUUCUGAACAGAGGCACAAGUGCAGGGAAGCUGCACACAGCAGGAUGCUCAGAGAAGACCAGUGUGGUGCGGGGCCAGUUAACGGCAACGCUGUGGACACUAUAGGUGGAAGGAACCAGAUGAAACCUAUGAACUUCUACGGUAUUUUACCUGCUUUUUCCUUACUGCUUAUUCUGAUGGGGCUGGACCUGAACCUGAGUCGUGGAGCUAGUUAAUGACGGAG
RNAcentral lists this long non-coding RNA (255 nucleotides) under Capra hircus (goat). RNAcentral's name for it is "lncRNA (ENSCHIG00000004782.1)". Lineage: Eukaryota; Metazoa; Chordata; Mammalia; Artiodactyla; Bovidae. The record is from RNAcentral.